CCUACGGGAGGCAGCAGUGGGGAAUAUUGCACAAUGGGGGAAACCCUGAUGCAGCGACGCCGCGUGAGUGAAGAAGUACUUCGGUACGUAAAGCCCUAUCAGCAGGGAAGAAGAAAGACGGUACCUGACUAAGAAGCCCCGGCUAACUACGUGCCAGCAGCCGCGGUAAUACGUAGGGGGCAAGCGUUAUCCGGAUUUACUGGGUGUAAAGGGAGCGUAGACGGCGGUGCAAGUCUGAAGUGAAAGCCCAGGGCUCAACCCUGGGACUGCUUUGGAAACUGUGGGGCUAGAGUGCUGGAGAGGUAAGUGGAAUUCCUGGUGUAGCGGUGAAAUGCGUAGAUAUUAGGAGGAACACCAGUGGCGAAGGCGGCUUACUGGACAGUAACUGACGUUGAGGCUCGAAAGCGUGGGGAGCAAACAGGAUUAGAUACCCGAGUAGUC
RNAcentral lists this ribosomal RNA (441 nucleotides) under uncultured bacterium. RNAcentral's name for it is "partial 16S ribosomal RNA". It matches the Rfam family "Bacterial small subunit ribosomal RNA", at positions 338 to 795 of the family's 1533-position model. The record is from RNAcentral.